RNAcentral lists this ribosomal RNA (252 nucleotides) under uncultured bacterium. Its description in RNAcentral is "partial 16S ribosomal RNA". It matches the Rfam family "Bacterial small subunit ribosomal RNA", at positions 523 to 769 of the family's 1533-position model. The record is from RNAcentral.
AUACGGAGGGUGCGAGGUUCCCCCCCGUUGGAAUUACUGGGCGUAAAGGGCGCGUAGGCGGCACUGUAAGUCAGAUGUGAAAGUCCAGGGCUUAACCCUGGAAGUGCAUCUGAUACUGCAGGGCUUGAGUAUCGGAGGGGAAAGUAGAAUUCCCGGUGUAGAGGUGAAAUUCGUAGAUAUCGGGAGGAAUACCGGUGGCGAAGGCGACUUUCUGGACGAAUACUGACGCUGAUGCGCGAAAGCGUGGGGAGC